CGUAUCAAGACUCGUUCUCAGUUGUGCAUUCUUUUCCGGGAAGCUCCGCCUAUAGAAUGCGAGCGAUGCGUGUGACGUAUUGCCAUUGGGCUGCAGAUGGAGAAGGACAGAGAAUGUGAAAACUUCACCUGAUCCAAGAUUUCACAGUGGCUGGAUUUUCUGACAUCUGUGUGUGAACAAUAUAUUGGCUAGAGCUGUACUUCUUUUUUUUUUUUUCCUAACCAGAUGACGGGGGUCGGAGAUGCACAAACAAAUUUAGUUCCUAACUGUAGUAAGGGAAAUUAGACAUCACAGUUCCCCUAUAUAGUAAUAUACAAAGAUUGGGGGAGUAAAGUGGAACACAAGUCCCAGCUUAAUGCAGGUUCGAUAUGGGCCAAUAGCAGAAGUAGUCAUUAACACUGACACAGCUUUUUAGAACGCUGGUUAUAAAAAUGUUCUGCUAUUAUAAGCCCGAAUGCAUGAUGAAGUCUUAUAAGCACUGGAAAAAAUUACAGCUAACUAGUAUUGUAUUAUUAAUGUAAGCUGUAUACUUUUUGUAUAGUAGCACUAGCAAAUACGUAUUAUUUAGCCAGUGUUCAGGAGGCCAUUACAUUUUCUGCCUGAAAUUCAGUAGUCAUGUGUACGUUAGUGAUGUCUUUUGAUGACCCGCUUGGGGUUACCACAAGCAAUGGGAAGAUUUUUUCUGGGACUGAUUGCAAUGACACAUCUAGCACGGUAGAUGAAACUUCAGAAAACAAGGAUGAAAAUCCUCCCACUGAUCUAGAGUCGGAAAGGAAGACAUCUGUACAGCUGUGUCACAUUGAAGACAUGCAAGCCACAAUGGAAACUAACGCCGAGGAGCAAAACACGCAUCGAAUUAAUGCCAACAGCUGGUUUGUUACUCACUUUUUCUUCUGUCAUUGUUAGAAUGGUCAAAUUCAUUGCACAACACUUGGGUAUCACAGUUCUGGGGGCAUUAAAGGACACCGUAGCAGCAGUGCCUUGUUGACUAAGGAACUGCUCUAAAUUUAGGGAACACUACAUAAAGAGCGCAAGUUGUAUAUGUUG
Long non-coding RNA from Rana temporaria (common frog), 1047 nucleotides. RefSeq lists it as uncharacterized. The record is from RefSeq and is a predicted model, not a curated record. NCBI's taxonomy places the organism in Eukaryota, Metazoa, Chordata, Amphibia, Anura, Ranidae. The transcript is spliced from 2 exons.